CUUGCGCAGGGCGCCCAGUUUGGCGGCGCGGGCCUGACGAGCCUGCUCCUCGGGAUCGGGGGCGGGUGCUGCGACUGCGGCGGGUGGGG
Molecule: transfer RNA, 89 nt
Filed under: Aquipseudomonas alcaligenes
Lineage: Bacteria; Pseudomonadati; Pseudomonadota; Gammaproteobacteria; Pseudomonadales; Pseudomonadaceae
Description: Pseudomonas alcaligenes tRNA-Val
Source: RNAcentral